RNAcentral lists this ribosomal RNA (253 nucleotides) under uncultured bacterium. RNAcentral describes it as "partial 16S ribosomal RNA". It matches the Rfam family "Bacterial small subunit ribosomal RNA", at positions 524 to 776 of the family's 1533-position model. The record is from RNAcentral.
UACAGAGGGUGCGAGCGUUGUUCGGAAUUACUGGGCGUAAAGCGCACGUAGGCGGAUAUUUAAGUCAGGGGUGAAAUCCCAGAGCUCAACUCUGGAACUGCCUUUGAUACUGGGUAUCUCGAGUAUGGAAGAGGUGAGUGGAAUUCCGAGUGUAGAGGUGAAAUUCGUAGAUAUUCGGAGGAACACCAGUGGCGAAGGCGGCUCACUGGUCCAUUACUGACGCUGAGGUGCGAAAGCGUGGGGAGCAAACAGG